AGGGUACACAGCGCAGAAUGAAGAAGCACAGAGGAAGUUGGGGCGAGGAGAAGGAAGCUUGGAAGGAAGACAGAGGUUCUAGGCCAUCUUUACAUCUUCUUGCGUGAAGGUUCAUGCCUGACUGCUGGUUUCAAGUCCUUCUUAUCAUCCAGGAAGGAAAAGACCUGAUUAGAGUACAUCAUGAGAAAUGCUGAACUGGAUGAAGCACAAGCUGGAAUCAAAAUUGCCAGG
Long non-coding RNA from Cervus elaphus (red deer), 231 nucleotides. RefSeq lists it as uncharacterized. Lineage: Eukaryota; Metazoa; Chordata; Mammalia; Artiodactyla; Cervidae. The transcript is spliced from 3 exons. The record is from RefSeq and is a predicted model, not a curated record.